GGGGACAAGGAGGCACACGGUGUGGGAACCAGGAAGUCAGGCUCUUCUAGGUGAGAGUUUAGGGCUCUUGACCCUCUUGGAAAUGAAACUGAUUAAAAGGAACUUCUUUAGCUGGUGGGAGGGAGUUAGAAAGCAAGCAGAAGGGGCUACGCGUUCUGGGAGCUUCCUCCCAUAGAGAAGGCAGUGGAAAAUUCUCUUUGUCAUUCCUGCAAAGGAGAGUGUGGCCAUCUCUAAGACAGUGCUGCAGGAGGGAGAGGAAAGAGAAGAAUAAGAAGAGCAGGCGGGUGUAGAGGGGAGGAGGAAACUUAACAACUUGCUAGUUUUAAUGAGGAUUAAAUAUGUUCCCUCAAACUCUCUGUAUCUUUUUAUUUCACUUUAAAAACUAUUUAUUUUUUAAGACUUUACUUUUUAGAGAAACUACCUGUAUCUUUAUAAGAAAUCUCUCAACUGAAGCUAGUUUAUGCUGAUAAUUUCCUAUCUUUAUAACCCAAAGCUGCUUUCUACAAAGACAUAAUUACCAUUCUUGGUGGAUGGGACCAGAUGUUUCCCCAAGACUGUGAGCUCUGAGGACACAUGCUUGAUUCUUCCUCGCCAAGUUCUCUGCACCUGGCACCUUGUCUGCCAUGAACGGGAGCCCAGGAAAUCCUUGUGAAAUGGAUAAAGGACUGAAGUAUUUAAUGAUCCCCACCCCUUCCUCCAACACCCCCAUGGUUUAGAGGAAGCAUGUUGGGGCCCCAGCACCUUCUAGAGACAAGCCUACCUCAAACUUCACGGAGCCUGUCUGCGUGGUGUCGAAGGCGUGGAAGAGAGCUGACCUCUCACAGAGAAAAAUAAGAAAAGGAGGAUCAAGAGAAUCAUGUCUAUUUGGAAAGCUUCCAAGAUAACCUGCCCUUUAGAAGCCAUGACUCUGGAAGGAAGAAAAGCUCAUUAAGGUGAGCCUGCAAUCCAUGAUGCUUUUUUUUAAAUUAAAAAAAUUAAAGUAUAGUUGACUUACAAUGUUGUGGCAAUUUCUGCUGUAAGCUUAGUGAAAAAGUGGAUUUUAAGUGGCAUGGGUGAUGAGAUUGAGAAACUGAGCAAAAAGGCUCUACUAGGCAAAGAACAUGAACAGAAUUCUCAGCAAUCUGGGAAGACACAAAGUGGAUCAGUGCCACAAAGACAUUCAGGACUUGAAGGGCCCAGAGUGGAGGGGCCAGAGGAGUGAGCCUGACAGCCUGAGCUGCUUAUUCUCUCAAAGCUUUUGCUAAUUCCUUAGUGACAGAGGUCAAGAAAAACAGCAAAAGCCACAGCCAAAAUGUGAUAGAACCAAAUGGAGCUUUUGAUGAGCUCACAGUGUUGAGAGGCAACUGUUGGGCUUCCAGGUCUUCUUAGGAGAAGGGUUCCUAACAAACACCAAGGCUUUCAGUUUGACCCCUAAAGGACUACAUUCUAGGAGUAAGAACAAGUUAGAAACAGAUCAGGCCUUAUGAGGAUUGAAAUCCAGCCUUAACGUGUCUCAAUCCCUAUUUGGAUUAAGUUUAUCUGCCCCUACUCUAUUACUUUCUAGAAGCUGAAGACUCAGCUAUAUAGUUUACAGUUUUUUUAUUCUAAUGUCUACGUUUCAUUGAAAACUUGCCAGAUAUGUUAAGAAAUGGGCCCAAAAGGAAAAAGAUAGAAUACAGUAAUAUAGUAAUAGAUUUAUGGAAUCUAGAUAUUACCUAUCAAGCAUGGGCUUUAAAAUGAUGAAAUAUUUUAAAUGAAAUAAUGAAAUAUUCUCAAGAAAAUAGAUUAAAAGAUGGAGAGUUCCACCAGAGAGACAGAAUACAUAUGAGAAAAUAAGUUUAAAAUUCUAGAAUUGAAAUAUGUAUUAUCCAAAAUUAACAACUAAAUAGAUCAACUUAACAGUAGGUUAGCAUAGUAAAAGAGAAAAUGAUUUGGUAGACAGGUCAAGAGAAAAAUAUACCAACUGAUGCACAGAGAGAAAAAAAUGGAAAUACAGAUAACAACAUAAGACAUGAUGAAAGGUUCUAACAUAUGUAUAAUUAAAGUUCCCAAAGAAGGAGAUAAAGAAUGAUGCUGAAGCAAUUCUGAAGAGACAAUAAAUGAUAAUUUUAAAAAUGAGGCCAAAAAAAAAAAAAUCAAGCCAAAGAUUCAAGAAGCACUACAAACCUCAAGCAGAUAGACACAGAGAAAAUGACAUCUAGGAACAUAUCAAUAAAACUGCUGAAAUACAAAGACACAGAAAAUCUUCAUUACAAGAGAACAAUCUUUAGGUUAUAACCAAACCCUAACUAAAUGCUGCUUGCAAGCAUAAGGGCACAGCAAAGGCAAAAGUGAAAGAAUAAAAAAGGAUACAGGAUGCAAACACAAAUCAAGAAAUGCUUGCAUGGCUAUUUUACUAUGAGAUAAGGCAAGAAGUUUUGCUGGAAAGAGGGAGUUUUCAUAAUGAAAGGGGCAGACAUAAAAAUUCUAAAUUAGUAUGCAAUAAUAAUAUAGCCUUGAAGUACAUUCAAAGCAAAGGCUGACAGACCAAAAAGGAGAAAUAGCAAAUUCACAAUCAGAGUUGGAGAUUUAAAAACACCUCUCUCAGUAACUGAUAAAACAAAAGAUGAAUAAAGGGUAUAGAAGAUAUGAGCAAUGUGAUAAACUUGGCCUCAUCAACACACAUAGAUCUUUUUACCCAACAGUCAAAGACUACUACACAUCCUUGUCAAGUACACAUAGAACACUUACCAAAACUGACCAUUUGGCUCCUAAAGCCAAUCUCAACAAAGUUCAAAGAACUGAAAUCAUUCAGAAUGCUUUCUGUCCAAAGUGAAAUUAAACAAAAAAUCAAGAGCAAAAAGAAAACAAGAAAACUUCCAAAUGUUUGGAAAUCAAGCCAUAUGAUUUUAAUUCCUAAGUGUCUCAUGUAUCAAAGAAGAAAUCUCAUAGAAAUCAGAAAGUAUUUUGAACCAAAUGAUAAUGACAUAUCAAAACUUGUGGGAUGCCAUUAAAACUGUACCCAGAGGGAAAUCUAAAAGAGCAUGACAUACUCGAGCUGCAAAUAAUUUAUGUGACAGUGUGCGCAAAAUUGAAUGCUGAGCUAUCUCUUGAUAUCAUAUUUCUAGUGUUUCUGGUGGUUCACUUUUAAUGUUGCCUAAACUAUGUUGGUUACAUUAGAGACUAUAUUAGUGAUGACAUGUAAUUUUUUUCUCUCCCCUAAACAUGGUUUGUCUGUUUAUUCCGGAUAAGUUUAGCACCAGCUUUUGAUUGACAACUUAUCCCAGUGUAAUCAGGGGUGAAAAUCCUUGUUGGUGCCUGAAUGGAGCAGAGGAGAAAAUAAGUUCUAUUUGGUCCUUAAGCGUAAUCCUAGAGGCUGAGAUUCUUACAGCAAAGGCUUGGAGGUGAGUCAUAAACUCAAGCAGACACACACAGCACACAACUCAUCAGCUCUGAAUUUUAUAAACUUAACGAUGAGUCCCAGGAGUGCUGAGCUGAGCCUUGAUAAAGAUUUUUCUGAGCAUUCCAGACAUCUUUUUUCAGUCUUCUUGGUUCAAUAAAACUCAAAUCAUGUUUUGCUCCAAGCGUUUGUUCUCUUAAUCUUGAAACCCUCCUGCCCCUUUUAAGCAAAAUUGAAUUUAUACAUUUCUCAUUCAUUUACACCUCAGUCCUGAAAAUGUUCUGAAAAAAACAGAGUCCUACCAAAAAAAAAAAAAAAAAAAAAAAAGAAAAAAGGAAAAUCUUUGAGUUUUGCUACUAUCUAUCUAUCUGCUACUUCCAUUAGAUAGAAUGUUUUCUGGAUGAAAUGUCCUAAAAAUUCUUCCAUAUCUAUAGUAUAUUUCACUUCUCUGACCUUUCUCCUCAAAUGGGGGUGUUUUUGAGGGUGGCCUUCAACACACUGGGUGGGGGUGUGGAAGGGGCAUAUCAGAUGCACCUUGCAAUUUCUUGGGAGGGUUGUGGUGGUAGAAAUUGUCAGGAAUGUAAUACAAUUAUUAAAAGUCCAUAAAGUCACUGCACAGAUGGUGACAUAAGUCACAAUUCUGUUGGCUGUGUGAUGGUGUAACAGUCACACAUUUUCCAUCAAGAAAAAAACCAAGAAACCCCUGGUAAAGAAAUGAUUCAUCCAGACCCAGAGUUGGCAGGAAAAGGAGCCCUAAACAGUGUUUCAGGACAAGGAGCAAGGCCACAUACAUUAGAGACUCUUGUGUCCCCUCAUCUCCAAAGCAACAUUUCUGUCCUGCUAAGCCCCUGGCCAGGCUUCAGAGCAGAAAUUAAUGUCAGGUUCACUGCAGUGUCUCAGCCACAGGCAAACAUCUCUAGAUAACGUUUUAAGUGGACCUCUUUGUCUGGAAAAACUGUCCCAGGAUGAAACUUUUGAUGAUUUACUUAGGUAGCUCUAGCAGUUUCUACAGCUCUAGGAGGGAAUCAGUUAUAUCCUGCCACCAGCUAGUAUUCAGGAAGCAGUGGGGAAACCUCCUGCCGUUUCUCCUUUGGUCUCAGUUGGACAUUGCUCUGAAGUUCUAGCACAUGGAGACAGCCAGUUAAUGAGUGGUUAAUGAGCAGCUGCCCUGCUUUGGGGACAGAGGAUAUGCUACCCGGGAUGAGUGGGUCUAGAAUAUAUCUGCAGAAAAUCAGAGGACUACAUGGUGGAAUAUAUUAUGUAUAUAUUUUACAGUUGCACCUGAGGCAUAUGGAAGUUCCCAGGCUAGGGGUCGAAUCAGAGCUGCAGCCGAGGCCACAGCCACAGCCACAGCCACGGCAACACUGGAUCUGAGCUGCAUCUGCAACCUACACAGCAGCUUGUGGCAACACUGGAUCCUUAACCACUGAGCGAGGGCAGGCAUCCAACCAGCAUCCUCACAGAGACAAUGUCAGGUCCUUAACCCACUGAGACACAAUGGGAACUCUCAUGGUUGGAUUUUGUUACUUCCCUUGACCGAGAGGCAAAAAUGUUUUAUUGCAAGUGAGGAGAAGGAAAAAAUAGUAUCCGGGGGAAAAGGAUGCUUUUAGUUUAAAGAUGGAAAAACGAGGGUGCGGCAAGAGGCUGAAGGAAUUACUCAAAGGAAAAGUAAAAUUGCCACAUGAAUAAGACAUCUCAGUUUGGCAUAGAAUUUUCUCUUCCAUGGGAACUCACUGGAUCAAGGUCAGGCUAAGGUGUCAAAGGCCUUUCAGUCUGAUUUUUUUGAAGAGUAGGUCACUGCCAUCCAGAUAACUUGACAACUUGCUGAGUGGUGGCUUCCAAGCAGAGGGCUUGCUUUGAUGGGCUGGUAAAUGUUUAACAACUGGCUCUUGGGGGAGGGGCGGAGCGAAGCAUGCUUGAUACCGUUUUCUAACUGCCUUGGUAUAAAUAUUCCCACCAUAGCCUACUUCAGACUAUCAACAUGAAGUCAUUGAAUACAGGUUUGGAAAGUGAAGCUCAUGAUCCACCAGUAUGACCUGACUCCAUCACGUUAUUGCUGCUAUUUCAGGAGAGUGAGCGUCUGCUUAACUAUCCCAAACUGGUGUGCCAAAGACCUGAAAACCAAUGCAAUACUCGAAAAGUACUCCAUUUCAUAGAAUAGGUUUAGCCCCUGUAAUCCAACCAAAUAAACCCUUUCUUUGUGGUUGGUGGGAAAAUAAACUUCUGUACACCACUGCAGAAUCAUCACAAGCAGGGAAACAAUGGAGACUGGCCAAGUAAGCUUUUGCUGGAAUUCAGUAUUAAUGUAUCCUCAGAGUAAGGGCCUGUCUUGGUGAGCUCAGAGAGCAUGGUAAUAGUUUUAGAAUUGAUCUAAUCAUUUCACUGCCCCUAGGAGGCAUGUGGUCAUUAGACUAAUUUGAGUUAUAAUCAUACCUGUCUUGUAGCUGUGAAUCCAAAUGAGAUAAGACAUGUAAAGUGCUCCCUGCAUACAGUAGGUGCACAAAAAUGUCUUUCCCACCUUCUCGUGGAUUAAGCUUGGGAUUUUAAGGGUCAUUCUCAAUAGCAGAAUUCAAUAAUCAUUCUGUUAGACACUUCCUAGGUCACGAUAACACCUCUUCUGAUGGAUCUAGUUAAUUACAUGUGCUUCUCUUCAAAACUGGAAGAUUUUCUUGUUCAGUGAUUUCCUCCGUCAGAGAGGCACCCAGUUGCCAGUUCAGGUUGGACGUUAAAUAGCCAAAGUGGAUAUUAUCAUUCGAUAUUAACUGCCACGGACAUAAGCAAACGCAAGACUCUGGAUGAAAGAGCAUCAAGCACAUCCGUCUGCAGACCGCCGUGGCACAGGCCAGAGUUUCUGGGGGUGGCGGGCACCAGAAACACAGGACCUGGCGUGUUAGUAAAUAGACAUAAUAACUGCCGGUCAUUGAGAAAAUUUCCUGCCUCUUCUCCCCUACCGUUAUUACAUGGCUCUAUGUCCUCUGCCCUUAAUAAUCCAGACAGUCACUGAGUGCAUUGUUUUGGUCCAUUUCCUAACUGGAGAAGGGAACUGGAUGUUACCCUCAACUGGAACGCGAGCUGCCAAGUGCAAGGACUGCAGCCAGGUCGUCUGAGAAUGUCUGUCUGCCUGCCCAGAGGCAGGGAGAAGAUGGCAGAGUGUCAUCUCCAGGACUCAGCUCGGAAGCCUCUUAACUGUGCACUUAAUAAAUGAAGCCUUGGCAGACACACCUUGAAUUAUUAAUGAAGUUAUUCAGCUUUGAUUGUUUCCUUCUUUGGGGGAAAGGUUAUUCACUCAAAUGCCUUUGAUUAGACUAUGCAAUACAUCACAAUUGGGCCUAUUUUAUGUGCAACUUUAUGGUGAUAAUAGUUCUGUCUCAUUUAGAAGCAAAUCAGACAUUAUGAACUUCGUGAUUUAUUAAUGUAUUGAUUUCUAUAAAUGUCAGUGCAUCUCACAUCCCGUCAGAGAGCUCGAGAACAAUCAGUGCAGGGCCAAUAAAAAUGUAAAAUGAAACCAUCAUAAAAAAGGAAAGACUGCCUGUUAAAAAGCUCUGUUGCCUCUCUGAAUUGUUUCAGCGUCCAGCUCAUUACCAUGAAGGCACCACCCUCCCCCGCCUUGUCCCACAGGAAACAGCCUGCACAAGGCUGUCUGGGAAAGCUCUGUCUGGUUGUCUGUUCUGUGCAGACUGAAAUAAAAGACAAGACAGAACGUUAAGUCGGACCUCGAGGGUACCCUGGAGUCUGUGCCCAGACUUCUCAUUCUGAAGAAUAAGGCGUGCCUCUCCAUCAGCUUCGCCCCACUAUGACCCAUCACCUCCCUGUUGAAUCUUCUCAGUCAAGCCCAGAUUCCCCAGCUGGCAUGGAAUGGUCUAUCCUGGGGGCCCCGUUUACUGUUCCAGAACACUUCCCCACAACUCCGGGGCAUGCAUCUUUUGCAAUAGCCGCAGAGUCUCCUGGUAUGUAGACCCUUGCCUCUGCCAGAGCAUGUGAUCUGCUGACCCCAGUCAGCCACCCUUGAAACCUGGCUAAGAGCCAUCUCUUCUGGGCAACUCUCUAAGACCACCGCACAGAAAGCAUCCUGUUCUCUCUGUCCAAACUCCCGGAGCACUUGCCUCUUAACAGUCCCCCAGUAGGUAUCGGUAUCUACCUUUGGGGGUUGCAGCUUUCAUUUACAGAAGUGGGGUGAGGUGGAGUGUGGGUAGGGAGGCUGUCUGGUUCCCACUUUUGUUUUAUUCUCAUUCACUUCAUUCCACUCCCUCGGGAUGUCUAGUAACUGCUUUGCACAUAGUAGGUGCAUAGAAAGCACUCAUUGUUUGUUAAAAGAAUGUAGAGCUAUUAGGAGCUGAAUGGGAAUUACAUUGAAGCCCAAGGCAGCAGCCAAGAGACUAUCUGGAAAGCAUUUGGCUUAGUGGCUAAUUCCAUCAUUUGAGAGUUCGGUUCAGAAAUCACCAUCUGGCAGUCCACAGAGUAUAGAUGUUAUCUCAUGUCUUUUGAGUAUGAGUUUUGCCAACAUGUAUUUCACAUAAAAUAUGGACUUUUGGCUUCUCUUCAGAAAACUGAAGUUACAGCCAUGCAGGCAUGCAUUAUCACACAGCACAAUUGGCUGGGGCAGAGGAGCAGCUCCUCACUUUAGACAGAGUGUGUGUACUCUAAUAAACCACAGACCCCACUACUCCCUAUUUUCUCUCCAACACUAAGCCCAAGGGAGGGUUGUUUUCUCUUGUCACUCAUUUACAUUACUUGCUGAAGUCUGUGAUCUCUGUUUAACAGCCCACUCCCCUCCUACUCCAUACCAUAUUAUUCCAAGUGACUUUUAUGUGUUUUGUGAUAAUCCAGAAACAUGACCGAGUUUUAUUUUGGGGGGUUCCAAGCAACCUGGAGAAAUAAGAGUGCCCUGUGAUUAUAGGGGACCUAGAGGAUUCAGGCUGUGUCCUGAGAUGAUGCUUCUGUGCUACUAACAUCACAUGGGUCAAGACUGGGUUUGACUUGCAGGUUCUGCUUCAGUGUAUUUUAGUAGCCUUCUAUUUUAUGGAGCACUUUCAUAUUGCUAGCUCCUGUGAGAUAUGUGUUAUAUCAUUCCCAUUUUACAGAGGAGAAAACAGAUUCAGAGAAGAAAGAGGAAAUAUUAUCAUUCCCUUUUUACUAGGAAAAAUGGCAUCAGAGAUCUUAUGAGACAUCCCUGAGGUCACAAAGAUGGUGAGCAGGAGAGCAAAGACUAAUCUCAUCAUCUGAUUGACAGAUACCUUCUGGCAUAAGGGACCAUCCUAGGGGUCACUCCUAGGCCUACCCCUAUGUCUUUGUGGUUGUUUCUCUGUCUCAGCAAGUUGGGACCACCUGCCUCUACCCAAGCUUCUCACAUUUUCUGUGCUUGAGAACUUGUAGAUCCCAGUCUGUGGCAGGAGUGGAGACAACAAACAGUUUCAGGGGUUGCCUCCUCACCUCUUCCCAUGUCCCCAGCUCUUGCCAUCCAUUUAGCGUUCCAAAUUUUGUUUCCCUCUUCUGAGCCAAAGAACAGCCUUCAGUCUGGGUGACAAGUUGUAGAAGUCACUGAGAAUAAAAGUUACGGAGAGGUACUUUUAUCCUGCCCUCUAACUUCACAGAUAUGACUCCUGGGGCCCAGAGAGGAAACUGGACUUGUCCAAGGUCACUCAUUGGAUCCCUGGCAGGGCAGGAUUAAACUCAGGCACACAUUUGGAUGCACUUCCAGCUCCUUUGAAGUAGAUAAUCAGUAUGACAAGAUCCUCCUCCUGCAGCAUCCAUCACAUGGCAUGGUGCUGUGAUGGAAAAGAGUGGAAGAACAUGAGUCAGAAAAAAUCAGAAGGAACAUAAUUUAAGUUUGAAUGAAGGAGAGUCUGAAGACAUAUAAGCUGAAGGGGAAAGUUUUCCAGGACACCACUCAGCCAUUCCAGAGCCCACCUGCCCAGAAGGAAACUUGACAAAUUCAUCUGCCCAGAGGUUUUCCUGCCUUCCUGUACCUUCUAUCCUCUGGAGCCCUAGCAGGUAUGAACUUAACCCAAUGAGCUUAGUGGUAUUUUAGGCACAGCCAGACACGAGGAACUAAAUUAAGAGCAGAGAUACUUCCAAGUUUCUGGUAAGUCAGUACUUUGUUCUCUUGCCUUCUCUAGCCCAUAACUCUCCUGGUUUGUACCUGCUCUUUCCUCUCUCUCUACUGCUUCCUUCCAAACAACCCUCUACCUUUUAAGACUGGUGCCAUCCCUGACUUUCUCCUGCCUCCACAUCCUCCCCCUUUGCAAGAUAACACAUGCUCAUGGCUCUAGAUGUCAGCUCUGGGCAAAUGGCUCCAGUAUCAGCCUCAUUUCUGUCCUGCAUUUUUACCUGUGGUCUUACUUCACCUCGCACACAACAUUCUCAUUUCAGUUCCACCAAUGUGAAUGACUGAGCAUCUGUUAGGUGCAAGGCCAUAUACCAGGAACUAGACUUACUCCUUGGCCACUUUCUGGAAUUUCUGGGAAUAAAGACAUGAGGAGGAGUGGUGGUUCCCAACUUCUGCCUUGUUGUCACCAUGCAAAGACUUAAAUUCUUUCAAGAAUUUUGGCCUCAAAGACACAUUCUCUCCCAGGUGUCUUCCGACCCUGGGCUUUGGGAACAUCCGUCUCUCAGGUGAAUUAUCUCAGUGGUCACCGGACAGACUUCACUGCUAUUGUCUAGAAAUGGUGGGGUGCUUCAUACAGGUUAUCUCCCUGGAUUAUCAUAACAUAUCUUUCCAGAAUAUUUCCACUUUGGGAAAAAUAUCAGAGGGAAAUUUAGGUCUCAUAGGUAGUGGGUUUCUGAAUAUUAAACCCAGGAUUAUCUGCCUCCAAAGUCCAGAAUUUCCCACACAUCUAGCUAAUAAUUGAGGAAUCUGUGGUUUGGUAUUAGUGAGAGACCCGUGAAUUGUUUAUCAAAAGGACCUGCUUUUUUCUCACAUCAUAUUUCCAUCCAGCAGAAUGUGAGGUCUGCACAAAUCUUCCCUCUCCACGUAACCUCCCUUUAAAUUUUUACUGAGAUUCCAUCUUUUACUUGAUGAGAAAUUUUUGUCCUAACGGGAGCACUUGUGGAAUCCAUUUCAAAAUUGCUUUUUCUUAUUUCCAUAUAGAUUGUAAGGCGAAUAUGUUUGCAUUGUAGAUAUGAGUCUGCAUAGAAUUGGACACUUUUCUCGCUUUUCCCAAGUUAUUACUUUUUGGGCAAGAAUCUUUACUUUGUUGGCCCUUUUCAAUUAUUUAUCAGCACUAGCAGACCUCUUUUUCCCCUCUGGGCCGUUUGCCCUAAAGAAGCAAAGGACUGGGCAUUUUUGAGACAGUCCGUCUGGGUGAGGAAGGUGGGGGUGGGG
Sus scrofa (pig) is the source of this 10679-nucleotide non-coding RNA. Lineage: Eukaryota; Metazoa; Chordata; Mammalia; Artiodactyla; Suidae. The record is from RefSeq and is a predicted model, not a curated record.